This 328-nucleotide unclassified non-coding RNA is filed under the name Saccharomycetales sp. RNAcentral describes it as "partial contains 5.8S ribosomal RNA, internal transcribed spacer 2, and large subunit ribosomal RNA". The record is from RNAcentral. Lineage: Eukaryota; Fungi; Ascomycota; Saccharomycetes; Saccharomycetales.
CGCACAUUGCGCCUCCUGGUAUUCCGGGAGGCAUGCCUGUCUGAGCGUCAGAAAAACACCCAUCGAUUUUUGUAAUUGGUUUAUGCCAUUUACGAUAAACGGUUUUUGAGUCUAUGAGACAUGUAUGUGCCGAAAGGUCAUUAUUCUCUGGCUUUAAAAGUUAACGUGUAAGAAAUGGCAGAGAAUCAGUAACUCUCCUCUUUCGCUGUGUUAGGUCAUACCAACUAUGUGAAAUGUGAUUAGUUCUGAAGCCAAACAAUAGUCGACGACACGUAAAUGGCUAUUCUAUUAUGGCCUCAGAUCAGGUAAGGAUACCCGCUGAACUUAA